GCCGGGCAUGGUGGUGCAUGCCUGUAUUCCCAGCUACUUUGGAGGCUGAGAUGGGAAGAUCACUUGAGCCCGGGAGGUCAAGGCUGCAGUGAGCUGAGUUCACGCCACUGCACUCCAGCCUGGUUGACAGAGUGAGACCCUGUCUCAA
This is a non-coding RNA of Homo sapiens (human), 148 nucleotides long. It matches the Rfam family "Metazoan signal recognition particle RNA". Rfam says of the family: The signal recognition particle (SRP) is a universally conserved ribonucleoprotein. It is involved in the co-translational targeting of proteins to membranes. The eukaryotic SRP consists of a 300-nucleotide 7S RNA and six proteins: SRPs 72, 68, 54, 19, 14, and 9. Lineage: Eukaryota; Metazoa; Chordata; Mammalia; Primates; Hominidae. The record is from Rfam.